CUACAGGCUUAACACAUGCAAGUCGAGGGGCAGCAUGGUCUUAGCUUGCUAAGGCCGAUGGCGACCGGCGCACGGGUGAGUAACACGUAUCCAACCUGCCGUCUACUCUUGGACAGCCUUCUGAAAGGAAGAUUAAUACAAGAUGGCAUCAUGAGUCCGCAUGUUCACAUGAUUAAAGGUAUUCCGGUAGACGAUGGGGAUGCGUUCCAUUAGAUAGUAGGCGGGGUAACGGCCCACCUAGUCUUCGAUGGAUAGGGGUUCUGAGAGGAAGGUCCCCCACAUUGGAACUGAGACACGGUCCAAACUCCUACGGGAGGCAGCAGUGAGGAAUAUUGGUCAAUGGGCGAGAGCCUGAACCAGCCAAGUAGCGUGAAGGAUGACUGCCCUAUGGGUUGUAAACUUCUUUUAUAAAGGAAUAAAGUCGGGUAUGGAUACCCGUUUGCAUGUACUUUAUGAAUAAGGAUCGGCUAACUCCGUGCCAGCAGCCGCGGUAAUACGGAGGAUCCGAGCGUUAUCCGGAUUUAUUGGGUUUAAAGGGAGCGUAGAUGGAUGUUUAAGUCAGUUGUGAUAGUUUGCGGCUCAACCGUAAAAUUGCAGUUGAUACUGGAUAUCUUGAGUGCAGUUGAGGCAGGCGGAAUUCGUGGUGUAGCGGUGAAAUGCUUAGAUAUCACGAAAAACUCCGAUUGCGAAGGCAGCCUGCUAAGCUGCAACUGACAUUGAGGCUCGAAAGUGUGGGUAUCAAACAGGAUUAGAUACCCUGGUAGUCCACACGGUAAACGAUGAAUACUCGCUGUUUGCGAUAUACUGCAAGCGGCCAAGCGAAAGCGUUAAGUAUUCCACCUGGGGAGUACGCCGGCAACGGUGAAACUCAAAGGAAUUGACGGGGGCCCGCACAAGCGGAGGAACAUGUGGUUUAAUUCGAUGAUACGCGAGGAACCUUACCCGGGCUUAAAUUGCAGAUGAAUUACGGUGAAAGCCGUAAGCCGCAAGGCAUCUGUGAAGGUGCUGCAUGGUUGUCGUCAGCUCGUGCCGUGAGGUGUCGGCUUAAGUGUCAUAACGAGCGCAACCCUUGUUGUCAGUUACUAACAGGUUCCGCUGAGGACUCUGACAAGACUGCCAUCGUAAGAUGUGAGGAAGGUGGGGAUGACGUCAAAUCAGCACGGCCCUUACGUCCGGGGCUACACACGUGUUACAAUGGGGGGUACAGAGGGCCGCUACCACGCGAGUGGAUGCCAAUCCCCAAAACCUCUCUCAGUUCGGACUGGAGUCUGCAACCCGACUCCACGAAGCUGGAUUCGCUAGUAAUCGCGCAUCAGCCACGGCGCGGUGAAUACGUUCCCGGGCCUUGUACACACCGCCCGUCAAGCCAUGGGAGCCGGGGGUACCUGAAGUGCGUAACCGCGAGGAGCGCCCUAGGGUAAAACUGGUGACUGGGGCUA
This 1439-nucleotide ribosomal RNA is filed under the name uncultured organism. Its description in RNAcentral is "SSU rRNA". It matches the Rfam family "Bacterial small subunit ribosomal RNA". The record is from RNAcentral.